RNAcentral lists this ribosomal RNA (457 nucleotides) under uncultured Streptococcus sp. Its description in RNAcentral is "bacterial SSU rRNA". It matches the Rfam family "Bacterial small subunit ribosomal RNA", at positions 930 to 1382 of the family's 1533-position model. Lineage: Bacteria; Bacillati; Bacillota; Bacilli; Lactobacillales; Streptococcaceae. The record is from RNAcentral.
CGGUGGAGCAUGUGGUUUAAUUCGACGCAACGCGAAAGAACCUUACCGACGGGCUUUGACACUCCCUGACCGCGUAUGAAAGUACGUUUUCACCCUCGGGUGACAGGGAGACAGGUGGUGCAUGGUUGUCGUCAGCUCGUGUCGUGAGAUGUUGGGUUAAGUCCCGCAACGAGCGCAACCCCUACGUUUAGUUGCUAACGCGUGAAGGCGAGCACUCUAGACGAACUGCCGUUGACAAACGGAGGAAGGUGGGAUGACGUCAAAUCAUCAUGCCCCUUAUGUUCUGGGCUACACACGUGCUACAAUGGUUGGUGCAACGAGUUGCGAGUCGGUGACGGCGAGCUAAUCUCUUAAAGCCAAUCUCAGUUCGGAUUGUAGGCUGCAACUCGCCUACAUGAAGUCGGAAUCGCUAGUAAUCGCGGAUCAGCACGCCGCGGUGAAUACGUUCCCGGGCCUU